This 1272-nucleotide ribosomal RNA is filed under the name Triticum aestivum (bread wheat). RNAcentral's name for it is "partial small subunit ribosomal RNA". Lineage: Eukaryota; Viridiplantae; Streptophyta; Magnoliopsida; Poales; Poaceae. The record is from RNAcentral.
AUGGAUAGGCUAGAUGGCUCUGCCCGCCUUAUGAUCGUUUCGGAUCUUGACCAGACGAUGGUUGAUCACUGUGAUCCAGAGAACUCGGCCUUGCUCCGUUUCGAGGCGCUCUGGGAGUCUGAGUACUCCCAGGAUUCUCUGCUGGUGUUCUCAACUGGAAGAACGCCGGUCAGUUACAAGGGUCUGAGGGAAAGAAAGCCUUUGCUCACACCGGACAUCACCAUCAUGUCUGUGGGCACUGUGAUAGCAUAUGGCCAGGAGAUGACUCCUGAUGUUGGCUGGGAGGAAUUUCUGAAUAACAAGUGGGAUAGGGAUAUUGUUGUUCAGGAGACAGCUAAGUUCCCUCAUCUAAAGCCACAGCCAGAGAGGAAUCAGGGUCCUCAUAAGGUCAGCUUCUUCGUCGACAAGCAGGGUGCUCAUGAAGUGAUUAAUUAUCUUCCUCAAAAACUGGAACAGCUUGGGCUAGAUGUGAAGAUAAUCUAUAGUAGCGGAGAGGCCCUAGAUGUAUUGCCACGAGGUGCAGGGAAAGGGCAAGCUCUUAUAUAUUUACUCGAGAAGUUCAGUUUGAGCGGAAAACCACCAAGCAAUGUUCUUGUGUGUGGUGACUCUGGCAAUGAUGCAGAUUUAUUCAGCGUUCCAUCUGCCUAUGGUGUCAUGGUUAGCAAUGCCCAAGAGGAGCUUCUUCAGUGGUAUGAAGAGAAUGGAAAAGAUAACCUUAAGUUGCUUCAUGCAACUGAGAGAUGCGCUUCCAGUAUCAUGCAAGCUAUCGGUCACUUCAAACUAGGGCCUAGUUUUUCUGUAAGAGAUCUUGAAUUCCCAUAUCCGAAGGUAGACACCAUCAAGCCUGCAGAUGUGGUGGUGAAAUUCUAUGUUCUUUACGAGAAGUGGCGGAGGGGUGAGGUUCAGAAGUCUCCAUCAGUUAUACAAUACUUGAAAAGCAUUACUCUCCAGAAUGGUACACUGAUACAUCCUUGUGGAAUGGAGCGGUCACUUCAUGCAUCCAUUGAUGCACUGAGUUCAUGUUAUGCUGACAAACAAGGCCAAAAGUUCCGAGCAUGGGUGGACCGACUUUUUACAUCGCCGAUCGGUACAAGUAACUGGUUGGUGAGGUUUGACAACUGGGAAAUGGAAGGCGAUGUGCAAUAUUGCUGCCGGACAACUCUUCUGCUGAAUACAAAGCCUGAGACUUCAGAGGGCUUGGAACUGACACACAUCCACAAGACCUGGCUUGAAGGAUACUCAGCUGGGAAUGAUCAUACCUUCAUCUUAUAG